RNAcentral lists this ribosomal RNA (490 nucleotides) under Levilactobacillus brevis. RNAcentral's name for it is "bacterial SSU rRNA". It matches the Rfam family "Bacterial small subunit ribosomal RNA", at positions 32 to 489 of the family's 1533-position model. Lineage: Bacteria; Bacillati; Bacillota; Bacilli; Lactobacillales; Lactobacillaceae. The record is from RNAcentral.
AACGCUGGCGGCGUGCCUAAUACAUGCAAGUCGAACGCAUCCCGUUAAAUGAAGUGCUUGCACGGAUUUUAACAUCGGAUGAGUGGCGAACUGGUGAGUAACACGUGGGUAACCUGCCCAGAAGCAGGGGAUAACACUUGGAAACAGGUGCUAAUACCGUAUAACAACAAAAACCGCAUGGUUUUUGUUUGAAAGGUGGUUUCGGCUAUCACUUCUGGAUGGACCCGCGGCGUAUUAGCUAGUUGGUGGAGUAACGGUUCACCAAGGCAAUGAUACGUAGCCGACCUGAGAGGGUAAUCGGCCACAUUGGGACUGAGACACGGCCCAAACUCCUACGGGAGGCAGCAGUAGGGAAUCUUCCACAAUGGACGAAAGUCUGAUGGAGCAACGCCGCGUGAGUGAAGAAGGUUUUCGGAUCGUAAAACUCUGUUGUUGAAGAAGAACACGUUUGAGAGUAACUGUUCAGACGUUGACGGUAUUCAACCAGAAA